RNAcentral lists this ribosomal RNA (91 nucleotides) under Escherichia coli. RNAcentral's name for it is "partial 16S ribosomal RNA". It matches the Rfam family "Bacterial small subunit ribosomal RNA", at positions 1 to 90 of the family's 1533-position model. The record is from RNAcentral. Lineage: Bacteria; Pseudomonadati; Pseudomonadota; Gammaproteobacteria; Enterobacterales; Enterobacteriaceae.
UUAAAUUGAAGAGUUUGAUCAUGGCUCAGAUUGAACGCUGGCGGCAGGCCUAACACAUGCAAGUCGAACGGUAACAGGAAUUAGCUUGCUG